UGGGUGAGUAACGCGUGGGUAACCUGCCCUUAAGUCUGGGAUACCAUUUGGAAACAGAUGCUAAUACCGGAUAAAAGCUACUUUCGCAUGAAAGAAGUUUAAAAGGCGGCGUAAGCUGUCGCUAAAGGAUGGACCUGCGAUGCAUUAGCUAGUUGGUAAGGUAACGGCUUACCAAGGCGAUGAUGCAUAGCCGAGUUGAGAGACUGGUCGGCCACAUUGGGACUGAGACACGGCCCAAACUCCUACGGGAGGCAGCAGUC
Molecule: ribosomal RNA, 260 nt
Filed under: uncultured Lactobacillus sp.
Lineage: Bacteria; Bacillati; Bacillota; Bacilli; Lactobacillales; Lactobacillaceae
Description: partial 16S ribosomal RNA
Rfam family: Bacterial small subunit ribosomal RNA
Source: RNAcentral